GCCGGGGUGGCCGAGCGGUCUAAGGCGGCGGGCUGCAGGGCGCUCUCGAGUCAGGGGCUCAGAGACCCGUUUAACCGCGGGUUCGAAUCCCGCCCCCGGCU
Molecule: transfer RNA, 101 nt
Filed under: Thermogladius calderae 1633
Lineage: Archaea; Thermoproteati; Thermoproteota; Thermoprotei; Desulfurococcales; Desulfurococcaceae
Description: Thermogladius cellulolyticus 1633 tRNA
Rfam family: tRNA
About the family: Transfer RNA (tRNA) molecules are approximately 80 nucleotides in length. Their secondary structure includes four short double-helical elements and three loops (D, anti-codon, and T loops).
Source: Rfam by way of RNAcentral